GUGAUGCUGGUGGGAACUUUUGGACUGGCAACCAGAGCCGGCCAGACAGUUAUGUCCUCUCAGCAGUACCACGAGGAAAGGUGUUGUGAAGGAAUGAGGGUAACAUGAUCCCUCUGUAGAUUAGAAUGUGACAUGGCCUGAUUGGAUGAUGAUAAGCAUUGAUGACCAACAGAUCACAUUAGAAUUACGGACGUCCGACAGGCCCGGUCUAGAUUCUGGAAGUUGCUGUUACAGUUGUGAGAAGGUAGAAGAACUUCAUCCA
Trichomycterus rosablanca is the source of this 262-nucleotide long non-coding RNA. RefSeq lists it as uncharacterized. The record is from RefSeq and is a predicted model, not a curated record. Lineage: Eukaryota; Metazoa; Chordata; Actinopteri; Siluriformes; Trichomycteridae. The transcript has 3 exons.